GCUUUCAUGGUGUAGUGGUCAGCACGCUUGGCCCAUAUUCAAGAGGUCCGUGGUUCGAAUCCCGGCGAGAGCA
RNAcentral lists this transfer RNA (73 nucleotides) under Stegodyphus mimosarum. It matches the Rfam family "tRNA". Rfam says of the family: Transfer RNA (tRNA) molecules are approximately 80 nucleotides in length. Their secondary structure includes four short double-helical elements and three loops (D, anti-codon, and T loops). Lineage: Eukaryota; Metazoa; Arthropoda; Arachnida; Araneae; Eresidae. The record is from Rfam by way of RNAcentral.